RNAcentral lists this ribosomal RNA (556 nucleotides) under uncultured archaeon. Its description in RNAcentral is "bacterial SSU rRNA". It matches the Rfam family "Archaeal small subunit ribosomal RNA", at positions 321 to 879 of the family's 1478-position model. The record is from RNAcentral.
CCCUACGGGGCGCAGCAGGCGCGAAACCUCCUCAAUGCACUCACGUGCGAAGGGGUUACCUCGAGUGCCGCCUGAAGAAGGCGGCUUUUCCAUGGUCUAAAAAGCCUAGGGAAUAAGAGGGGGGCAAGACUGGUGUCAGCCGCCGCGGUAACACCAGCCCCUCGAGUGGUGGGGAUGAUUAUUUGGCCUAAAGCGUCCGUAGCCGGCCGGGUAAGUCUCCCGUUAAAUCCAGCGUCUCAAGCGUUGGACUGCGGGAGAUACUGUCUGGCUAGAGAGUGGGAGAGGUGUUCGGUAUUCUGGGGGUAGGGGCGAAAUCCUUUGAUCCCCGGAGGACCACCAGUGGCGAAGGCUGUACACUAGAACACGUCUGACGGUCAGGGACGUAAGCUGGGGUAGCGAACCGGAUUAGAUACCCGGGUAGUCCCAGCUGUAAACGAUGCACGCUAGGUGUUGGGGCGGCCACGAGCCGCCCCAGUGCCGCAGGGAAGCCAUUAAGCGUGCCGCCUGGGGAGUACGGCCGCAAGGCUGAAACUUAAAGGAAUUGGCGGGGGAGCAC